AAACAGCUCUGGAGAAAAAAAAAUAACAACUUUAGAAGGCCUAGACAGAAGGGAGAUCGUCCAGAUUCAACCUCCAAAGGCAGACCCGACAAAGAAGUGACUUGGUACGAAUCCAAAGAACUUGAACACUACAUAAACGAAUGUCCAAAGAUCAAGAAGGACAACUUCGGAAAGGAAAUCUUCAAGAAGAACUCCUUCAAAUCAAAUAAGAAGGGACUCAUGGCAACAUGGG
RNAcentral lists this long non-coding RNA (232 nucleotides) under Lathyrus oleraceus (garden pea). RNAcentral describes it as "Pisum sativum (pea) long non-coding RNA (PSAT_LNC030426)". The record is from RNAcentral. Lineage: Eukaryota; Viridiplantae; Streptophyta; Magnoliopsida; Fabales; Fabaceae.